This 1343-nucleotide ribosomal RNA is filed under the name uncultured bacterium. RNAcentral's name for it is "16S ribosomal RNA". It matches the Rfam family "Bacterial small subunit ribosomal RNA", at positions 28 to 1378 of the family's 1533-position model. The record is from RNAcentral.
GACGAACGCUGGCGGCGUGCUUAACACAUGCAAGUCGAACGGAAAGGCCCUGCUUUUGUGGGGUGCUCGAGUGGCGAACGGGUGAGUAACACGUGAGUAACCUGCCCUUGACUUUGGGAUAACUUCAGGAAACUGGGGCUAAUACCGGAUAGGAGCUCCUGCUGCAUGGUGGGGGUUGGAAAGUUUCGGCGGUUGGGGAUGGACUCGCGGCUUAUCAGCUUGUUGGUGGGGUAGUGGCUUACCAAGGCUUUGACGGGUAGCCGGCCUGAGAGGGUGACCGGCCACAUUGGGACUGAGAUACGGCCCAGACUCCUACGGGAGGCAGCAGUGGGGAAUAUUGCACAAUGGGCGGAAGCCUGAUGCAGCAACGCCGCGUGCGGGAUGACGGCCUUCGGGUUGUAAACCGCUUUCGCCUGUGACGAAGCGUGAGUGACGGUAAUGGGUAAAGAAGCGCCGGCUAACUACGUGCCAGCAGCCGCGGUGAUACGUAGGGUGCGAGCGUUGUCCGGAUUUAUUGGGCGUAAAGGGCUCGUAGGUGGUUGAUCGCGUCGGAAGUGUAAUCUUGGGGCUUAACCCUGAGCGUGCUUUCGAUACGGGUUGACUUGAGGAAGGUAGGGGAGAAUGGAAUUCCUGGUGGAGCGGUGGAAUGCGCAGAUAUCAGGAGGAACACCAGUGGCGAAGGCGGUUCUCUGGGCCUUUCCUGACGCUGAGGAGCGGAAGCGUGGGGAGCGAACAGGCUUAGAUACCCUGGUAGUCCACGCUGUAAACGGUGGGUACUAGGUGUGGGGUCCAUUCCACGGGUUCCGUGCCGUAGCUAACGCUUUAAGUACCCCGCCUGGGGAGUACGGCCGCAAGGCUAAAACUCAAAGGAAUUGACGGGGCCCCGCACAAGCGGCGGAGCAUGCGGAUUAAUUCGAUGCAACGCGUAGAACCUUACCUGGGUUUGACAUGGAUCGGGAGUGCUCAGAGAUGGGUGUGCCUCUUUUGGGGUCGGUUCACAGGUGGUGCAUGCCUGUCGUCAGCUCGUGUCGUGAGAUGUUGGGUUAAGUCCCGCAACGAGCGCAACCCUUGUUCACUGUUGCCAGCACGUUAUGGUGGGGACUCAGUGGAGACCGCCGGGGUCAACUCGGGGGAAGGUGGGGAUGACGUCAAGUCCUCAUGCCCCUUAUGUCCAGGGCUUCACGCAUGCUACAAUGGCUGGUACAGAGAGUGGCGAGCCUGUGAGGGUGAGCGAAUCUCGGAAAGCCGGUCUCAGUUCGGAUUGGGGUCUGCAACUCGACCUCAUGAAGUCGGAGUCGCUAGUAAUCGCAGAUCAGCAACGCUGCGGUGAAUACGUUCCCGGG